This 468-nucleotide ribosomal RNA is filed under the name uncultured bacterium. RNAcentral describes it as "partial 16S ribosomal RNA". It matches the Rfam family "Bacterial small subunit ribosomal RNA", at positions 28 to 507 of the family's 1533-position model. The record is from RNAcentral.
GACGAACGCUGGCGGCGUGCUUAACACAUGCAAGUCGAACGGAAAGGCCAGGCGCUUGUGGGGUGCUCGAGUGGCGAACGGGUGAGUAAAACGCGAGUAAACUGCCCUUGUAUGUGGGAGAAAUUCAGGAAACUGGGGCUAAUACCGGAGAGGAGCUCCUGCUGCAUGGUGGGGAUUGGAAAGUGUCGGCGGUGGGGGAUGGUAUCGAGGCUUAUCCGCUGCCUGGUGUGGUAGUGGCUUACCAAGGUUUUGACGGGUAGCCGGCCUGGGAGGGUGACCGGCCACAUUGGGACUGAGGUACGGCCCAGACGGCUACGGGAGGCAGCGGGGGGAAACAUUGCACGAUGGGCGGAAGUCUGAUGCAACAACGCCGCGUGCGUGAUAACGUCUUUCGGGUUGUGAACAGCUUUCGCAGGUGACGAAGCGUGAGUGACGGUAAUUGGUAAAAAAGCACCGGCUAACUACGUG